RNAcentral lists this ribosomal RNA (629 nucleotides) under uncultured bacterium. Its description in RNAcentral is "bacterial SSU rRNA". It matches the Rfam family "Bacterial small subunit ribosomal RNA", at positions 217 to 842 of the family's 1533-position model. The record is from RNAcentral.
GGCAACGGAUGGGCAUGCGUGACAUUAGCUAGUUGGCGGGGCAACGGCCCACCAAGGCGACGAUGUCUAGGGGUUCUGAGAGGAAGGUCCCCCACACUGGUACUGAGACACGGACCAGACUCCUACGGGAGGCAGCAGUGAGGAAUAUUGGUCAAUGGGCGCGAGCCUGAACCAGCCAAGUCGCGUGAGGGAUGACGGCCCUACGGGUUGUAAACCUCUUUUGUCGGGGAGCAAAUUCCGCCACGCGUGGCGGAGUCGAGAGUACCCGAAGAAAAAGCAUCGGCUAACUCCGUGCCAGCAGCCGCGGUAAUACGGAGGAUGCGAGCGUUAUCCGGAUUUAUUGGGUUUAAAGGGUGCGUAGGCGGACUGUCAAGUCAGCGGUAAAAUACGGGGGCUCAACCUCCGCCCGCCGUUGAAACUGACGGUCUUGAGUGGGCGAGAAGUAUGCGGAAUGCGUGGUGUAGCGGUGAAAUGCAUAGAUAUCACGCAGAACUCCGAUUGCGAAGGCAGCAUACCGGCGCCCAACUGACGCUGAAGCACGAAAGCGUGGGUAUCGAACAGGAUUAGAUACCCUGGUAGUCCACGCAGUAAACGAUGAAUACUAGCUGUCCGGGGCGAAUGAGCCCUGG